Molecule: RNA transcript, 2626 nt
Organism: Pyrgilauda ruficollis (rufous-necked snowfinch)
Lineage: Eukaryota; Metazoa; Chordata; Aves; Passeriformes; Passeridae
Gene: KLHDC1
Gene name: kelch domain containing 1
Exons: 10
Source: RefSeq, a predicted model, not a curated record
CACUUUGGACCCUCCUCGCUUCCCGUCCGCCCCAGGGGAGCGACCGGCGGCGGAGCCGCAGCUUCACCCGGAGGAGGCGGUGGCGGGACGCGAGCCCUGAGGCGGCCGAGCCGCUUCCUCCUCCUCCCUCCUCCUCCUCCUCUUCCUCCCCCCCAAGAUGGCGGCGGACCCCGCGGAUCAGUUCUGCGUGGCCGAGGAGCGCAGCGGCCACUGCGCCGUGGUGGACGGCAACUUUCUCUACGUGUGGGGCGGAUACGUGUCCAUUGAAGAAAAUGAAGUUUAUCUGCCCAGCGAUGAGCUCUGGAUCUAUGACAUGGACAGUGGGCUCUGGACAAUGCACCUGAUGGAAGGGGAGUUACCCACCUCCAUGUCAGGCAGCUGUGGGGCCAGCAUCAAUGGGAAGCUGUACAUUUUUGGGGGAUUUGAUGAUAAAGGAUACAGCAAUCGGCUGUAUUACGUCAAUUUGAGAACAAAAACCGGAACCUACAGGUGGAAAAAAAUCACAAAUUUUAAAGGUCAACCUCCCACACCCCGUGACAAACUUUCCUGCUGGGUGUACAAAAACAGGCUAAUUUAUUUUGGAGGUUAUGGCUGCAGGAAGCACAACGAGCUCAGUGAUUGUUUCGACGUCCACGAUGCAUUUUGGGAAGGGCAGAUAUUCUGGGGAUGGCACAAUGAUGUUCAUGUUUUUGAUACAACCACACAGACUUGGUCUCAACCAACAAUUCGAGGUGGAGAUCCACCUCAGCCUCGAGCAGCUCACACAUGUGCUGUGCUGGGAAAUAAAGGUUACAUCUUUGGAGGACGAGUGCUGUUCACCAUAAUACAAAUCUUCCCAGGGAAAAGGCUCUGCAAGGAACCAGAAAGGGCCAGGAAGUGUCAUGAGGCUUCUCCUAUUCAUCUUUCUGGGAGGAAAGGGCACCUUUUUCCAAACUUGGAGCUAGAACUGGUAAAAGAAGAUGAUGAUGAUGAUGGUGAUGAUGAUGAGAAUCAGUUGUACCAGGAAUCAUUUGAAAACAGGCUCAGAAGUGUUAUGUGGACUCAGUUCCUUCAGGGAGCAGGAAAGAGAAUUUCUCCAUCUUCUGCCCAAUGCCCAGGAAAGGAAAGUCAGCGAGGAGGUCUUGAACAGGAUCCUCUUGAAACCUUAAUUUUCACCAUAACAGCAACUUCCUUUGAUAGAUAUCCUUUAUAUCAAAUUGUGUUACUCCAACAUGAUUGAGUAUUUCCAGUUGUAGAGGCCAGGAUGUUGGGUUUGCCCCAAAUGUACAGAAGAUCCCAACUGCAUUUUGCUUUCAGCUUGGAUGAUUUGAUCCCCUCAUGCCCUUCAAAGGCACCAGGAGCAGUAGGAAACUGGAGAGAGGUGUCAUGGAAGACAGAUCUGUUCCCCUGGCUGUCAGCUGGACCACACUUGGUUGGUUUUAGGUUGUUUUGAGGCAAUGCCCCAAACCCUGACAAUCUGCUUGUCUUUAUCCUGUUGCCCUCCCCAAAAUGCUCUUCCCAUUCCCUUCCCAGCCCAGCAGGGUUAGCAGUGCUUGGCAGAGGAGGUUGUAGAAUUCCUGAAAUCCUUGCUGUUCCCUGAAAUCCCUGAGAGACUUCCCAGAGCUCUGCUGGGCAGCUCUGGGGGUCCCUCAGCCUCACUGCUGGGGUACAAGCACUCCUUUCAGCCUAGUUCUGCCUCAGAGGAUCUGCAAGCUGGAGAAAGGCUUUUUCUAAUAGAUCUAUGGACUGCCCAGGGAGAAAAGGAGUUGGAAGGUAAGGCAAGAAACAUUUCCCUACUUCCCAGAUGGUUUUUGUAGCUCCCAGGGGAAUCACAGCUCCCAGGCAAGCAAAGAAUUCCUUUUACCACCUUCUCCACCACCCCGAGGCAGGCAGAGACUUCCUCCAUCUCAAACCCCAGGCAGAUGAGCAAGAGGAAAGAUUUCCCAUUUUAUUUGAUGGCAAAUGCUUGCUGGUGGUCACUUUGUGAAAGGAAAACAGGGAAAAGCACAAAUGAUGGACAUUUCUGGGAAUACCCAGAGUGCAGCACUACCAGGAUACUCCAAGGAGUAGUGACCAGACAGGAGGAUCCAAACUUCUGAUCACAGUGUCAAGGAAAAUAACACCAGGCAACAAUAGGAGAGUAAAACACCUUCUGCAUUGCCCUGCCAGGAGUUCUGUGGAUGGAAAUUAAAAACAUUUGCAGGAACUGGAUAAAUCCCCACAAAGUUCUUCACUUUUAGAAGCUAAAAUUGGCCCCAUAGUGCUGUUGCAUGACUGGAAAUAUUUCUGCCAGGCACUUUCCUGAGAGUUGCAUGGUUUUUGUGAGGAGAAAAGCUUUUCAUCUGCCACAUAAUUCAGAUUUAUAUUAAGGCAAGUGGGUACAGAUUUCUUCAAACUAUUGGUACUUGGAAUAUUCUGUCCCAGGAAGGCCUCACUGAAAUAUUUUGUUUAUUGUUUGCUUAAAAUAACCCGAGUGGGAUUUUAUUUCUUUGUUUUAGCAAACCAGAAUGAAUGAUUUGCACUGCCUGAAUUUAGACACUUGGACUUGGUCUGGAAGGAUUAAUAUCAGUGGAGAGAAGCCCAGAGAUCGCUCCUGGCACACGCUGACCCCCAUAGGGGAUGACAGACUUUUCCUUUUUGGUGGACU